CGAGCGCAACCCUUGUCCUUAGUUACCAGCACGUUAUGUGGGCACUCUAAGGAGGACUGCCGGUGACAAACCGGAGGAAGGUAGGGGAUGACGUCAAGUCAUCAUGGCCCUUACGGCCUGGGCUACACACGUGCUACAAUGGUCGGUACAAAGGGUUGCCAAGCCGCGAGGUGGAGCUAAUCCCAUAAAACCGAUCGUAGUCCGGAUCGCAGUCUGCAACUCGACCGCGUGAAGUCGGAAUCGCUAGUAAUCGUGAAUCAGAAUGUCACGGUGAAUACGUUCCCGGGCCUU
RNAcentral lists this ribosomal RNA (291 nucleotides) under uncultured Pseudomonas sp. RNAcentral's name for it is "partial 16S ribosomal RNA". It matches the Rfam family "Bacterial small subunit ribosomal RNA", at positions 1093 to 1382 of the family's 1533-position model. The record is from RNAcentral. Lineage: Bacteria; Pseudomonadati; Pseudomonadota; Gammaproteobacteria; Pseudomonadales; Pseudomonadaceae.